Molecule: small nuclear RNA, 104 nt
Organism: Rhinolophus ferrumequinum (greater horseshoe bat)
Lineage: Eukaryota; Metazoa; Chordata; Mammalia; Chiroptera; Rhinolophidae
Source: Ensembl
GUGCUUGCUUCUGCAGCACAUAUACUAAAAUUGGAACGAUACAGAGAUUAGCAUGGCCCCUGAAUAAAGAUGACACGCAUAUUUGGGAAGCGUUCCACAUUUAA